This 1516-nucleotide long non-coding RNA is filed under the name Anser brachyrhynchus (Pink-footed goose). Its description in RNAcentral is "lncRNA (ENSABRG00000012873.1)". Lineage: Eukaryota; Metazoa; Chordata; Aves; Anseriformes; Anatidae. The record is from RNAcentral.
CUCCUCCAAGUUUGGUGUUGUCAGCAAAUUUGCUCAAAACACCUUCUAGUCCUCCAUCCAAAACAUUUAUAAAAUCAUUGAAGAGGACUGGCCCUAAAAUGGAGCCUUGAGGGACCCCCCUAGUGACCAUCUGCCAGCCAGAUGUGGCCCCAUUUACCACAACCCUUUGAGCCCUGCUCGUCAGCCAAUUAAUUAGGUAAUUAGGCUCCCAUUAGCAGGUAAUUAGGCUCCCAUUAGCAGUGUGCACACCACUGGCUGAUUGGAUGACAGGUACCUUGUAAUUGCUCUGAAUAAAGGACAAGUUCAAGCCUAGCCUUGCCUUCUGAGACCAGAGACUCCUUCAGUAUGCCCUACUGGCAGAGCCAUAUAUGUUGGAGCUUGUUCUUGAGAGAAGUGGGGAAGCUGAACAUGGCGAACCCAGCAGGCAUCAUUGUGUCUCCUUUGUACCACUCAGCAGCUUUCUGCAACACAGAGACAAGAAAUGGGAGAGGAACUGGUAUAUGGCCAGGGCAUUGCAAGGACCUACUAGAACAAGCAGUUGUGUACUCAAAGGUCAACAGAGGAACAUGAUGUCCAAGAGCUGGGUACAAGACACAAGGCUGGAAGUUCAGAAGUUUAUCAGGAAAGACAUUGCAUUGGGAACUGACUCCUAAAUGUAUUUGUGCAUUAUAUUAACCAGUCAUUCAGUAAAAUAUUGAAAUAGUCAUUUCAGAUAAGGACUCCAGAAGAAAUCUCUCUCUCAGGAGCUGGAUUUCAGGAGAAGGCUAAGGACAGUGAUCCCUCACCAAGAAAAUGAAAGCCUCUCUCCAGGGGUAUGAGAGGUGCUGCUGUAGCUCCAAAAAGGGUUUAAAUGUAAGAUAGCAGCAUGUUCAGUACUGCCUACAGAGUAGCAUAGAGCUGUCUGCUAAUCUCUGGCAAUAUCUCAGCAUUUGUCAGAGUCAUGAUUUAUUGAGCAGUGAGAGUGUUCCUCACCUUGCAAGAUCAGGUCCCUAGAUUGUAACACAUUUUCUUGUUCACCAAAAAGGCUCAUCCACAACAAAGAAAUUAAAGAAACAGAGAGAAUUAUUCAGUGACACCAGAAACAAUGAAGGAAAAACUAUGUGUAAGCCUUGGCAAAACAUCUCUAAACAGCACUUUGAGCUUGCAGCACAGCCCAGCCGUAUUUCAGAGCCAAAGAGAAGAUUUUUUUUUUGUACUAAUGUGCAUCAGGCUGAGACUGGGACCCAGAAAUUGCUGCAAAUACUCAGCUCCUGAAGGCUGUAUAAACCCAGUGGGAUCCUGCUGUGCUUGAGAGGAGAGAGGGCUGAAAUCUAAGUAAUGGCCAAAGUCCAGAUUUUGAAAGAAAAAGGAUUAAUGAAGCCUGCUAUAGUAGUGUACCUGGGAUAACAUCAUAAUUAGAGAUUAAUAACAACCACUUCAUAAAGUCUGACACUUUUCUGUUCCUUAGUACCAUUGCUGUAUCGAGUGAGUUUUUGAUGCCUUAGAAUAAAAGUGUAUGUCAGAGUGAACUAGAACA